Gordionus sp. m RMFG-2023 is the source of this 399-nucleotide long non-coding RNA. RefSeq lists it as uncharacterized. The record is from RefSeq and is a predicted model, not a curated record. The transcript has 4 exons. NCBI's taxonomy places the organism in Eukaryota, Metazoa, Nematomorpha, Gordioida, Chordodea, Parachordodidae.
CAAAAAUCAUUUUUUCUGAAUAAAAAAAUUUGUAACAAAGUUAACACAUUUCUAAUUCUCGCUAGGCAACAAAGAAUUAUUAUAUUCUGCCCUGGAAAUUGAAAAAUCCUGGGAGAACGACAACAAGUUUCCUUAGGCGAAUAUCUACGAAUCAAGAUGCAUCAAAAGAUUCUUCUUUUUUAUCUUCGAAAAUCUAAGAAUAAAGAACCGCUAUGACACGAAACGCGAAAGGAUAAUAGGUUUCCCGGAUGUUUUUCAUUUUUAAAUGAUAGAAAUCCUCUUGGCCAAAUGAUUUAAAGUUCAAGUCAAUACAAAAUUAAAAUGCUACCGUCAAAUAAUGCGAUCAGUCAAUGCGUCUAUUAACUAAAAAAAAUCAGGCAAUACACGUAUUGAUUGUUU